RNAcentral lists this ribosomal RNA (113 nucleotides) under Eugenia sp. 3 FFM-2014. RNAcentral describes it as "partial 18S ribosomal RNA". It matches the Rfam family "Eukaryotic small subunit ribosomal RNA", at positions 1720 to 1831 of the family's 1831-position model. The record is from RNAcentral. Lineage: Eukaryota; Viridiplantae; Streptophyta; Magnoliopsida; Myrtales; Myrtaceae.
ACGUGGGCGGUUCGCCGCCGAUGACGUCGCGAGAAGUCCACUGAACCUUAUCAUUUAGAGGAAGGAGAAGUCGUAACAAGGUUUCCGUAGGUGAACCUGCGGAAGGAUCAUUG